AUACGGCUUCUUGGCUAUUACGUGUUGAAUUACUAUGAUUCUUGGCUAUCAGCAAUCGGAACUGCCAUUUGCAAGAAAUCACAAGCAAUUUGAAAAUCUUUUUAUUCUUGUUCUUAUAGGGCCGGAAAAAAAAAAAAAAAAGAAGAUUUCACUAGAUGAAGAUGAAAAUUCAAAUGCCUCGUAAGGACUAAGAUUAUCCCCUCACAAAAUCUCAAGGAAAAAUUGGGAGGAAUCUAUAAAAUUUCAAUCAUUUUCCAUCAACGUCGAAGUCCACAGACGAAGCCAUAGUCGGCACCAUCAUCCUCUGUUUGGGCACCGCCUUUAACCACCUUCGACUACUGCGCGUUCAUCACGGCUUCGAGGUCCCAAUCUGUCAAGCCUCGCAGACGAAAAAGCGAGAAAGCGAGCUGCACUGCAAGUCAGAGUGACCUGCCCUUUUAUUGAAUCAACGACCGCGAUUACUUUGCGCUGAUCGGUUACGAUCGCGCCCAUAUCCUCAAAACGGCGUCGCACCCUAACCAGACGCCUUGCUUUCUUGAGUGUGUUCGUUAAACUCUAUCUCAUCUAUUGGAUCUCAUUAUCCUCAUUCACCGAAAGAACCAGGCUCAGUCUCAAAUGAAGUUCAUUUGAAGUACUAUGGCAUAUAUUCUCAGCAGAGGUUACUGAAAAAUGGAGUUGAGAUCAUUCAUCUUGCAAUCUACCUUAACACCUUUGUUUCCAUCAUUUACAUGCUGCAUUAAGCCUUCUUUCCAGUCCAAGAAGAUGGACCAGAAGGUUUAUAAAUUAGAGAUCAGUAGAAGAAUGGGACUUCUAGCGGCCAUGACUUCAAUAGUAUUAGCAGGAGAGGGUAUUUUUAGCACAAAAAUCGCAAGUGGAUUUGAUUUUGGAUUUGUUGCCCCUGAUCAAACUAUUGAAGAAGCAGAGAGUGGAGUCAGAAGUCAUGCAAAAGCCUUAUUACAAGUGAAAGAUCUAUUGGAGACAGAGUCAUGGAAAGAAGCACAAAAAGCAUUGCGAAGGAGUUCAGCUCUUCUGAAGAAGGAUAUCUAUACCAUAAUCAAUAGCAAGCCUGGAAGUGAGAGGCCCCCACUAAGGAAGCUCUAUUCCAGUCUUUUCAAUAAUGUCAGUAGACUGGAUUAUGCAGCGAGGGAUAAAGACACCCAACAAGUCCGACAGUGUUACAACAACAUAGUUGUGGCUGUCAAUGGCAUUCUAUCCAGAAUAUAUCCAUCCUAGGCUUUUUAAAAUGAGGAAUUGAGAACUUGGUGGCAGAUUGAUGUCAAAAGCAACCUGAAACUUCCUGAUAUGAACUCUAAUAGCUGAGGGCGCCAAAGACAUUCCAGACUAUAAAAAUCACUUUUUCUAUUUUCUUUUCUUUCUUCACUCUAUUUUAUUUUUCCUUGAAAAAACAGCCUCUUAGUGUUUUAUCACACAUAAUUCAGAGGCUUUCAAUACAUUCACUAAUCUAUUUUACACCAUAGGCCAAAGUAAGAGGCCACCCUUUCACACCAACUUUCCUGCUUGUAGAAUUAAUGUUUCAUUGUACUCCAAUCUUGAGUAAUGGAAUGAAGGACAUCACUUGCUCUAUUUUCUUCUUCUUCAUUAUCACUAUUUUCUGGAUUCAAACUUCAAGUAACCCUUAACUGCAUGUUCUUGAAUGGUGCAAUCACCUUCCUGAUAGACUCGAAAUGGAAACAGUAGCAUUUGAUGAAGAUGUACCAUUAGACAUAGAAUUGUUUGUUCUAGGCCUCAAAUUAGUAUCAACAUAGACAGGCAUAGUUGGUUUCUUGUGCUCCAUUAAGCCCUUGCUUUUGAGCAUAACAACAAUUUCAGACAUUGUUGGCCUAGCUGCGGGAGAUGCUUGAGUGCACAGCAAUGCAAUCUCUAUUAUUUUCUUUACUUCUUCUGCAUCGUAUUCAUUUGGAUCUAAGGUUUUAUCCACAAAAUCUAUGUGCAUUCCUCUCUCAUGCAGUCUCCAAGCCUGUCAAGAGGGAUCAAAGUGAUAUAGCAAAGAAAAAGGAGUUUCUUGAAGUUUAUUAGACCAUUGCUAUCAUGUACUUUACUAAAACAGUAACAUGUGAAUUAAUUUUUAUAGGGCAAGUAUCAUUGUUGUAUUGUUGAGCGGUAAAAAUGUUCAUUUUUUAUGUUAUAUAUUGAAAGUCGUUUAAACUCCUAAAGCUGCAGUUAGAGUUUCUUCAAUAAAUAUAACCCCUGUUAUAUUUGUUCUGGCAAUUUGCUUACUCUUUGAAGGAGGAGUUCGCUUGAAUCAUCAAUCUUCAAUUCACCACUCUUUUGUCCACUUAUGAUUUCUAGAAGUACAACACCAUAGCUAUAAGUAUCAACCUUCUCUGAUAAUUGUCCAUGCAUUGCAUAUUCAGGUGCUGUGUAUCCCCUGACAAAAAUAUAGUAUUUAUGGCAUACUAAAUCAAAACAAUAACAUACAUGAAAGUGGGACAUAUAUGAACACUGAUAAAAUAAAUUUGAUAUGUUCAUGUGCAUCUUCGGGUGUUGUAUCACAUAUUAAAUGUGUCAUAAACGGAUACAAUCUUUCUUGAAUUACUUGAGCUCUGUAGAAACAAAACAUCAAUGAAAAGGAUUUAAAGGUGUAAUAACAGUGUUCCAUUUGCUUAGCACAUGAAUUUUUUUGCAAUCUUUUGUUUUUGUGUGUGAAUAAUAAAAGAAUAAAAUAUGAUAAAUUUCAUCUGCUUUUACUUACAUUGUUCCUGCAAAUUUUGUGUUGAGAUGAGAUUGGUCCUUUGGCAAAAGUCUUGCCAACCCAAAGUCAGCAAUUUUAGGUUGGAAAUCAUCAUCCAAGAGAAUAUUGCUAGUCUUUAUAUCUCUAUGAAUAAUACAAACAUGGAAUUCCUCAUGCAGAUAAGCCAAACCCCUUGCAGUGCCCAAAAUUAUGUUAUAGCGUUGCUUCCAAUUGAGGGAACCCUUAUUUGUACC
This is an RNA transcript of Prosopis cineraria, 2946 nucleotides long. It is a transcript of the gene named psbQ-like protein 3, chloroplastic, with no coding region annotated. The record is from RefSeq and is a predicted model, not a curated record. The transcript is spliced from 4 exons. Lineage: Eukaryota; Viridiplantae; Streptophyta; Magnoliopsida; Fabales; Fabaceae.